Molecule: long non-coding RNA, 754 nt
Organism: Panthera uncia (snow leopard)
Lineage: Eukaryota; Metazoa; Chordata; Mammalia; Carnivora; Felidae
Exons: 3
Source: RefSeq, a predicted model, not a curated record
UUAUGACCUCAGGGAUUUAAAUCUGGGAGAAGAUAGCCUUUUACUGCUGUGGCCCUCUUUUCAUCACAGGGCAUCUGCAAAUGAAGCCAUUGUGAAGGACGGCAGACCUGAGAGAGACCUCAUUUGAGCCUCUGGAUUAAUAUCCCUCCUUGCGUCAACCAGUCUGAUGUGGAUUUUCUGACCUUUGCUACCAAAGUGUUCACAGUGGGGCCGAUAGUGAUGGAUUGGGUCAUUUUUUAAGCUAGAUUUCUCAGGGAAAACCUCUCUAAGCAUCUGGAAGUCUGUGGAUCAAGGUGCUAAUAGCGUACCAUUUCCCAGGGAUGGGGUUAGAGAGGUUCCUUUGAGUUCCAUGAUCUUCUGUUGUUGCCUUUUCCCGAUGAAACCAUGCAACACUGGAGAGCUACUUAGAAGGAUUGUGGAAGUGUGUACCUUCUAAAGCUGCACCUCUCCUGCUUUGUGUCAUACAUCCUACAUAUCCAGAAAUAUAAUUAAUUGAUUGCCCAGGUGGUCCCUACAUCCAGUGGCAAGUUUCUUAUAAGACACAAACGAGAAGACACAGGACAGAAGGCCAUGUGACAACAGAGGCAGAGACUGGAAUGAUGGGGCCACAAGCCAAAGAACACCUGGAGCCACCAGAAGCCAGAAAAAACAGGGAGGAUUUUCCCCUGGAGAUGGCAGAGGGAGCACAGCCCUGCUGACCCCUUGAUUUCAUACUUCUGGCCUCCAAAGCUGUGAGAGAAUAAACUGUUUUAAG